This is a long non-coding RNA of Halichondria panicea, 812 nucleotides long. RefSeq lists it as uncharacterized. The record is from RefSeq and is a predicted model, not a curated record. The transcript has 2 exons. NCBI's taxonomy places the organism in Eukaryota, Metazoa, Porifera, Demospongiae, Suberitida, Halichondriidae.
UUGACCACGCCCACUUCCGGUGUAACCUCCGCCCAUUUCCUGUCACCUGAGUGCUAGGCCAAGGGGCUAGGGAGGUCUAUUAUAGUACCAUAGUAGAUGUAACAUUAUGUCUAGAUAGCUAUGGCUCCAGUGCAGUGAUAGUAAGAUCAAGAAGUUAAACAAAAGCUGGUUGCAUCGGUGGUACCCAGUCUUGCAAUGAACCGUUGCCGUCUUUGUCCAAUAUCGAAAUGGAGUCAAAACAAAUCUACCAAGCGUUUGACCACCAACCUGAUAUGGUGAGAAAAGUACACAGGCACGACAAUACACUCCAUCAGAACAUUGACUGUAAUGCAUCCACGGGUAUGAUCUCAGCCAUUCUGGUUUGAACCGACGGAAAUUGCUUGAAGGACAUGGUCUGGUGCGUGGAUAGCUCUCUGGAUCAGUAUUGGGAUUGGUAGUCAAGAUUCGAUACUUGUGAUCUCUUGUUAAACUCUUAAUAUCUACCCCUGAGUUAAGGAGUUUCCCAAUGUCGCAAUCAUCACUUGAGGUAGCACCACCUAAGCCACACCGGAUAAUGCAGUCACCCUCCUCCAUAUCAAGUUCACUGUCUGAAUCUUCAGUGUCACUGGGGACGUCAGUAGGGGGAGACGAGUCAGCAGGGCUGACAAUAGCAUCCUGUGACUCCUGUGACUCUGAACCUACAAUUGAAGUUGUUUUUAUUUAUAAGUUUUGUUGUUUAUUUAUCAUAAUUUAUAUGAUUUGGAUUUUUAUUUAUGUGAAACCGUACCUGCUUUACUCUUUUUGAAGAAUGUUGAAAUUGGCACUUGACUUGG